UCUCUCUUCUCUUCUCUUCAUUUUCUCUCAAAACCGAACUGUUGCAAAUUGCCUUGGCCGGCGAGCUUCUGUCAGUGACCACCUCCUCUUUAUUCUCUCCCCUUUUUCCCGUCACCAGAGUCAGCCGCGACCACCCUAUCCCCUUUCAUCGUCAGCAACUCCAUCCAGCAAUACUGCUGCUAUCGACCACCGUCUCCCCCCGACGAGCGACCACCCCAACAACAAUCACAAAACAGAUCUGGCCGAAACGAUCUCGCCUAAAAGUUGAACUCCGGUAAAAAUAGGGUAUGACAGUUUGGCGAUUCUGCUGGGGAAUCAAGGCUCUAACUAUAACAGACUUAGGUUUGGAUUCGAGGUCAAAUCUUUUUCAAGAAAGGGAGGAUGAUACAAGACAAAUGGCCUCUGAGUUGCUAGAGAGAAUGCUUACGGUUCAAAUGACACUUGAAGACUUCUUGAGGGCUAUCUAAAUGCAUCCAUUGGAUGAUUAUGAUGACCAAGGAGACUUAAGGAUGUUAGAGAGGCCAAUGGAUGACCAAACGGGGCUAGAAAGUCCCCGAAAGAAGAGAUGUGCCCUAUCUGCUUGGGAGAAGCGCCCAACCCACUCUAGAUUCGCUAGAGCGGGUCAAAAAAGGCCACUAUACCCUUGGGAUGUGCCCCAUGUGUGCACCAUAUGCUUAAGUAAGUACCUAAUGGGCUUCUAUGUGUUUGUCUUUCCUAAAUGGGUCACUUUUGGGCCCAUAUGAUGUAAUAACCUAUCCUAGACUAUAAAUAAGAUUUCUUUUCAUUUUAGUAAGUAGUUUAUGAUGAAUUAUGAAUUUGAACACUUGUGAGAGUGUGAGGUAAACAUGGAUUUGCUUGUGUUGAUCAUUUGUAUAGAAACGUGGGUUGUUUGAGAAUUGAUUCCCUUGAGGUCUAUGUAAGAUUUAAGUGCUUUUUUUGGUUUAAUUGAUUGAGGAUUUAGGGUUUGAUACACCCUUUAUUUGCUUUUAAUUCCUUGCAUUGUGUUUAUCCUAUUGCUUCUCUAUAUCUCUUUAGCUUUCAUUUUCGUAUCGUAGUUUAGUUUUCAAUU
Molecule: long non-coding RNA, 1069 nt
Organism: Capsicum annuum
Lineage: Eukaryota; Viridiplantae; Streptophyta; Magnoliopsida; Solanales; Solanaceae
Exons: 3
Source: RefSeq, a predicted model, not a curated record